GGUUUACCUGUGUGACUGCGUACCUUUUGUAUAAUGGGUCAGCGACUUAUAUUCUGUAGCAAGGUUAACCGAAUAGGGGAGCCGGAGGGAAACCGAGUCUUAAUUGGGCGUUAAGUUGCAGGGUAUAGACCCGAAACCCGGUGAUCUAGCCAUGGGCAGGUUGAAGGUUGGGUAACACUAACUGGAGGACCGAACCGACUAAUGUUGAAAAAUUAGCGGAUGACCUGUGGCUGGGGGUGAAAGGCCAAUCAAACCGGGAGAUAGCUGGUUCUCCCCGAAAGCUAUUUAGGUAGCGCCUCGUGAAUUCAUCUCCGGGGGUAGAGCACUGUUUCGGCUAGGGGGCCAUCCCGGCUUACCAACCCGAUGCAAACUGCGAAUACCGGAGAAUGUUAUCACGGGAGACACACGGCGGGUGCUAACGUCCGUCGUGAAGAGGGAAACAACCCAGACCGCCAGCUAAGGUCCCAAAGUCAUGGUUAAGUGGGAAACGAUGUGGGAAGGCCCAGACAGCCAGGAUGUUGGCUUAGAAGCAGCCAUCAUUUAAAGAAAGCGUAAUAGCUCACUGGUCGAGUCGGCCUGCGCGGAAGAUGUAACGGGGCUAAACCAUGCACCGAAGCUGCGGCAGCGAACGUAUCACCCAAGACAACUUUACGGAGUUGACGAUUGACGGAGCGAAGCGACGUCAAAGCGUUCAUUAAAGUCGAGUUGGCUUAGGGAUACGUUCGUUGGGUAGGGGAGCGUUCUGUAAGCCUGUGAAGGUGUGUCGUGAGGC
This 772-nucleotide ribosomal RNA is filed under the name Salmonella enterica subsp. enterica. RNAcentral's name for it is "partial 23S ribosomal RNA". It matches the Rfam family "Bacterial large subunit ribosomal RNA", at positions 582 to 1269 of the family's 2925-position model. The record is from RNAcentral. Lineage: Bacteria; Pseudomonadati; Pseudomonadota; Gammaproteobacteria; Enterobacterales; Enterobacteriaceae.